GCUUUCCUCAGGUCUCAGUUAAGAUCACACCUUCUGCAAGAAGCCUUCUCUGGUCUUCCUUAAUGUUCGUGCCUUCCCUCUGUGACAAUCCAAUUUAGCCUGCCGCUGUCUUGUCUGUCUGCAAACAGCAACCAGCCAUCCUGAACAAUGCAUAUUCUCAGCCUUGGUGGUGACUACCUUGUGAAUGCAAGCAUUCCUGAGUUCCUGAAUUAAUUCUGGCCACCCAGCAGGAGGUGUUUCCUGAAACUACAUUGCUUCUUAGCGGGCAAGGUGACCGCCAGCCAGAUCAUCCUGAACUUAAAAGGAGUAAAGAGCUAUCCCUGACUGGCCAGCAGAGGUGGAACUUAGGAAUUGCUCAGACAAGUGGAGGUCUGAGGUACGCACUGGAAAUAUUUUGUUAGGACUUCCAUCUGGAUUUCCUUGUGCAUUGGAAGAGAUCCAGUGAAGAAAUGUAUGGGAGGAAUUUUCACCAUGGAUUGUUUGA
Molecule: non-coding RNA, 484 nt
Organism: Phascolarctos cinereus (koala)
Lineage: Eukaryota; Metazoa; Chordata; Mammalia; Diprotodontia; Phascolarctidae
Source: RefSeq, a predicted model, not a curated record